GCCACGGUGGUCUAGGGGUUAGAACGCUGGCCUUGUAAUCCUGGAGGGUCUCGGGUUCGAUUCCCGGCGGUGCCC
Zootermopsis nevadensis is the source of this 75-nucleotide non-coding RNA. NCBI's taxonomy places the organism in Eukaryota, Metazoa, Arthropoda, Insecta, Blattodea, Termopsidae. The record is from Rfam.